GGGCUCCUUUACCUGGAAUUCAUGGCAUGGACGUGCAAAGCAAUGAGAGGUAAGCCUAAUCAGAGAGGGGAAGACAGUGAAAUCUUGCCAGGAAUUCAGCCAACUGAUGGAAUAACAAUGAACAGUCUAGAGAUGCUCAGCGUCUUCUGA
RNAcentral lists this long non-coding RNA (150 nucleotides) under Fukomys damarensis (Damara mole-rat). Its description in RNAcentral is "lncRNA (ENSFDAG00000025547.1)". Lineage: Eukaryota; Metazoa; Chordata; Mammalia; Rodentia; Bathyergidae. The record is from RNAcentral.